Oryza brachyantha (malo sina) is the source of this 298-nucleotide long non-coding RNA. RefSeq lists it as uncharacterized. The record is from RefSeq and is a predicted model, not a curated record. The transcript has 3 exons. NCBI's taxonomy places the organism in Eukaryota, Viridiplantae, Streptophyta, Magnoliopsida, Poales, Poaceae.
UGGAGCUGGAGCUCCGGGCCGCAGGGUACAUGUCCACGGCGCGGCGGUGGAGGCGGAGUUCGUGCUGGGUGCUUUCAGGCUGGGGUGAUUUCGCUGUUUACUUCCGGAAUGCGGUGGCAAAGGAGGAUGACGACGACGUGCCGUCGGAGAUUGAGGACAGGGAGGGGAGGAGACCAGAGUACCAGUGUAAAGAUUCUUAGCUUCCCAAGCUCAUCAGCAGAAGGUGUGUGGAUUGAAAGUUAUUCGUCUCACCUUCGGAAGGGAAGAGGAUGAAGUGCCUGAGAAGAAGCCGCGCAUC